This 72-nucleotide transfer RNA is filed under the name Stegodyphus mimosarum. It matches the Rfam family "tRNA". From Rfam's summary of the family: Transfer RNA (tRNA) molecules are approximately 80 nucleotides in length. Their secondary structure includes four short double-helical elements and three loops (D, anti-codon, and T loops). Further hydrogen bonds mediate the characteristic L-shaped molecular structure. tRNAs have two regions of fundamental functional importance: the anti-codon, which is responsible for specific mRNA codon recognition, and the 3' end, to which the tRNAs corresponding amino acid is attached (by aminoacyl-tRNA synthetases). tRNAs cope with the degeneracy of the genetic code in two manners: having more than one tRNA (with a specific anti-codon) for a particular amino acid; and 'wobble' base-pairing, i.e. permitting non-standard base-pairing at the 3rd anti-codon position. The record is from Rfam by way of RNAcentral. Lineage: Eukaryota; Metazoa; Arthropoda; Arachnida; Araneae; Eresidae.
GUCUUCGUGGUGUAGUGGUCAACAUGCUGGACGUGUAUCCAGAAGUCCAUGGUUCGAGUCUAAGUGAAGAUG